UGGUAUGCCUAAUACAUGCAAGUCGAACGGAUCUUGGUUUCGGCCAAGAUUAGUGGCAAACGGGUGAGUAAUACAUAUCUAACAUGCCCCUCUGUGGGGGAUAGCCGCUUGAAAAAGCGAUUAAUACCCCAUAGGAAGCUUUAUCUAUGAUUUAGCUUUUAAAGCCUUCGGGCGCUGAGGGAUUGGGAUAUGCUCUAUUAGCUAGUUGGCGGGAUAAAAGCCCACCAAGGCAAUGAUAGAUAGCUGGUCUUAGAGGAUGAACAGCCACAGUGGGAUUGAGAUACGGCCCAUAUUCCUACGGGAAGCAGCAGUAGGGAAUCUUCCACAAUGGACGAAAGUCUGAUGGAGCAAUACCAUGUGAACGAUGAAGGCCUUUUUGGUUGUAAAGUUCUUUUACGAGGGAUAAUUAUGAUAGUACUUCGUGAAUAAGUGACAGCAAACUAUGUGCCAGCAGCUGCGGUAAUACAUAGGUCGCGAGCAUUAUUCGGAUUUAUUGGGCGUAAAGCAAGCGCAGGCGGAUGUGUAAGUUCUGUGUUAAAUGCAGCUACUCAAUAGUUGUAUGCACCGAAUACUACAUGUCUAGAUUGUGGUAGGGAGUUUCG
Molecule: ribosomal RNA, 602 nt
Filed under: Mycoplasma haemofelis
Lineage: Bacteria; Bacillati; Mycoplasmatota; Mollicutes; Mycoplasmatales; Mycoplasmataceae
Description: bacterial SSU rRNA
Rfam family: Bacterial small subunit ribosomal RNA
Source: RNAcentral